Molecule: ribosomal RNA, 501 nt
Filed under: uncultured bacterium
Lineage: Bacteria
Description: partial 16S ribosomal RNA
Rfam family: Bacterial small subunit ribosomal RNA
Source: RNAcentral
AUUGAACGCUGGCGGCAGGCCUAACACAUGCAAGUCGAGCGGAUGACGGGAGCUUGCUCCUUGAUUCAGCGGCGGACGGGUGAGUAAUGCCUAGGAAUCUGCCUGGUAGUGGGGGACAACGUUUCGAAAGGAACGCUAAUACCGCAUACGUCCUACGGGAGAAAGCAGGGGACCUUCGGGCCUUGCGCUAUCAGAUGAGCCUAGGUCGGAUUAGCUAGUUGGUGGGGUAAUGGCUCACCAAGGCGACGAUCCGUAACUGGUCUGAGAGGAUGAUCAGUCGCACUGGAACUGAGACACGGUCCAGACUCCUACGGGAGGCAGCAGUGGGGAAUAUUGGACAAGGGGCGAAAGCCUGAUCCAGCCAUGCCGCGUGUGUGAAGAAGGUCUUCGGAUUGUAAAGCACUUUAAGUUGGGAGGAAGGGCAGUAAGUUAAUACCUAGAGAUAGUGGACGUUACUCGCAGAAUAAGCACCGGCUAACUCUGUGCCAGCCGCCGCCGUAA